Molecule: unclassified non-coding RNA, 22 nt
Filed under: Dictyostelium discoideum
Lineage: Eukaryota; Evosea; Eumycetozoa; Dictyosteliales; Dictyosteliaceae
Source: RNAcentral
UCCCAAUCUGGAGAUCAGCAAA